UGUGCGGAAAAGGACGAAUGG
RNAcentral lists this unclassified non-coding RNA (21 nucleotides) under Chlamydomonas reinhardtii. RNAcentral's name for it is "small RNA Cre_3584". The record is from RNAcentral. Lineage: Eukaryota; Viridiplantae; Chlorophyta; Chlorophyceae; Chlamydomonadales; Chlamydomonadaceae.